RNAcentral lists this ribosomal RNA (253 nucleotides) under uncultured microorganism. RNAcentral's name for it is "partial 16S ribosomal RNA". It matches the Rfam family "Bacterial small subunit ribosomal RNA", at positions 524 to 776 of the family's 1533-position model. The record is from RNAcentral.
UACGUAGGGUGCGAGCGUUAAUCGGAUUUACUGGGCGUAAAGCGUGCGCAGGCGGCCCGUUAAGACAGGUGUGAAAUCCCUGGGCUCAACCUAGGAAUUGCGCUUGUGACUGGCGGGCUCGAGUACGGUAGAGGGGGGUGGAAUUCCUGGUGUAGCAGUGAAAUGCGUAGAGAUCAGGAGGAACACCGAUGGCGAAGGCAGCCCCCUGGGCCUGUACUGACGCUGAGGAGCGAAAGCGUGGGGAGCGAACAGG